AAGGUUAUAUGAUCAAGUAAAGGAAGAGCACAAGGCGGAUGCCUUGGCAGCAUAAGGCGAUGAAGGACGUAGUAACCUGCGAUAAGCCUCGG
Molecule: ribosomal RNA, 92 nt
Filed under: uncultured SAR86 cluster bacterium
Lineage: Bacteria; Pseudomonadati; Pseudomonadota; Gammaproteobacteria
Description: partial 23S ribosomal RNA
Source: RNAcentral